CAUGCAAGCCGAGCGGUAUUGUUUCUUCGGAAAUGAGAGAGCGGCGUACGGGUGCGGAACACGUGUGCAACCUGCCUUUAUCUGGGGGAUAGCCUUUCGAAAGGGAGAUUAAUACCCCAUAAUAUUUAGAAUGGCAUCAUUUUAAAUUGAAAACUCCGGUGGAUAGAGAUGGGCACGCGCAAGAUUAGAUAGUUGGUGAGGUAACGGCUCACCAAGUCUACGAUCUUUAGGGGGCCUGAGAGGGUGAUCCCCCACACUGGUACUGAGACACGGACCAGACUCCUACGGGAGGCAGCAGUGAGGAAUAUUGGACAAUGGGUGAGAGCCUGAUCCAGCCAUCCCGCGUGAAGGACGACGGCCCUAUGGGUUGUAAACUUCUUUUGUAUAGGGAUAAACCUACCCUCGUGAGGUAGCUGAAGUACUAUACGAAUAA
RNAcentral lists this ribosomal RNA (433 nucleotides) under bacterium Ellin6093. Its description in RNAcentral is "bacterial SSU rRNA". It matches the Rfam family "Bacterial small subunit ribosomal RNA", at positions 54 to 489 of the family's 1533-position model. The record is from RNAcentral. Lineage: Bacteria; Pseudomonadati; Bacteroidota; Flavobacteriia; Flavobacteriales; Flavobacteriaceae.